This 497-nucleotide ribosomal RNA is filed under the name uncultured bacterium. RNAcentral describes it as "partial 16S ribosomal RNA". It matches the Rfam family "Bacterial small subunit ribosomal RNA", at positions 28 to 507 of the family's 1533-position model. The record is from RNAcentral.
GAUGAACGCUGGCGGCGUGCCUAAUACAUGCAAGUCGAGCGAACGGACGAGAAGCUUGCGUCUCUGAUGUUAGCGGCGGACGGGUGAGUAACACGUGGAUAACCUACCUAUAAGACGGGGAGAACUUCGGGAAACCGGAGCUAAUACCGGAUAAUAUUUUGAACGGCAUGGUUCAAAAGUAAAAGACGGUCUUGCUGUCACUUAUAGAUGGAUCCGCGCUGCAUUAGCUAGUUGGUAAGGUAACGGCUUACCAAGGCAACGAUGCAUAGCCGACCUGAGAGGGUGAUCGGCCACACUGGAACUGAGACACGGUCCAGACUCCUACGGGAGGCAGCAGUGGGGAAUCUUCCGCAAUGGGCGCAAGCCUGACGGAGCCACGCCGCGUGAGUGAUGAAGGUCUUCGGAUCGUAAAGCUCUUUUGUUAGGGAAGAACAUAUGUGUAAGUAUCUGUGCACAUCUUGACGGUACCUAAUCAGAAAGCCCCGGCUAACUACGUG